This 483-nucleotide ribosomal RNA is filed under the name uncultured bacterium. RNAcentral's name for it is "partial 16S ribosomal RNA". It matches the Rfam family "Bacterial small subunit ribosomal RNA", at positions 28 to 507 of the family's 1533-position model. The record is from RNAcentral.
GACGAACGCUGGCGGCGUGCUUAACACAUGCAAGUCGAACGCUGAAGCUCAGCUUUUGUUGGGUGGAUGAGUGGCGAACGGGUGAGUAACACGUGAGUAACCUGCCUCCUUCUUUGGGAUAACGCCCGGAAACGGGUGCUAAUACUGGAUAUUCACUGGUCUUCGCAUGGGGGUUGGUGGAAAGGGUUUUUCUGGUGGGGGAUGGGCUCGCGGCCUAUCAGCUUGUUGGUGGGGUGAUGGCCUACCAAGGCUUUGACGGGUAGCCGGCCUGAGAGGGUGAACGGGCACAUUGGGAAUGAGAUACGGCCCAGACUCCUACGGGAGGCAGCAGUGGGGAAUAUUGGACAAGGGGGGCAAGCCUGAUGCAGCGACGCCGCGUGAGGGAUGGAGGCCUUUGGGUUGUGAAACUCUUUCGCUCAUGGUCAAGCCGCAACAAUGGUUGUGGUGAGGGUAGUGGGUAAAGAAGCGCCGGCUAACUACGUG